UGGGAUCACAACUGUUUCUUAGAAGUCUUAGAAGUUUAUCCUGAGAAAAACAUCUGAACUCGAGUCACUGGUUCUGGUCCAGGUAAAGUGAGAGGGGAUCGGCUGAGAAAACACACACACACUAACACACACACACCUGCUGAUCAGAAGCGCUUUGAUUUUACCAGCAUGAAUCCUGACACACCUCACAGCUGAUCAACACACACACACACUCACUUAUAUACACUCACACACACUCAUAUACACUCACAAAACACUCAUAUACACUCACACACACUCUUAUACACUUUCACUCACUCACACACACUCAUAUAUACUUACACUCACUUACACACACACUCAUAUACACUCACACACACUCCUAUACACUUACACUCACUCUCACACACACUCAUAUACACUCACACACACUCCUAUACACUUACACUCACUCUCACACACACUCACAUACACUCACACACACUCCUAUACACUUACACUCACUCUCACACACACUCACAUACACUCACACACACUCCUAUACACUUACACUCACUCUCACACACACUCACAUACAAUACACUCACACACACUCACACACACUCAUAUACACUUACACACACUCACACACACUCAUAUACACUUACACACACUCACACACACUCAUAUAUAUUUACACUCACUCACACACACUCAUAUAUACUUACACACACUCACACACACUCAUAUAUACUUACACUCACUCACAAACACAGACUCAUAUAUACUUACACACACUCAUAUAUACUUACACACACUCACACACACUCAUAUAUACUUACACUCACUCACAAACACAGACUCAUAUAUACUUACACACUCUCACACACACUCAUAUACACUCACACAAACUCCUAUACACUUACACUCACUCUCACACACACUCAUAUACACUCACACACACUCCUAUACACUUACACUCACUCUCACACACACUCACACACACUCCUAUACACUUACACUCACUCUCACACACACUCAUAUAGGAUUCUUUGAUGAAUAGAAAUAUCAAAAGAUCA
This 1037-nucleotide long non-coding RNA is filed under the name Sinocyclocheilus anshuiensis. Its description in RNAcentral is "lncRNA (ENSSANG00000027460.1)". The record is from RNAcentral. Lineage: Eukaryota; Metazoa; Chordata; Actinopteri; Cypriniformes; Cyprinidae.